Molecule: ribosomal RNA, 446 nt
Filed under: uncultured bacterium
Lineage: Bacteria
Description: bacterial SSU rRNA
Rfam family: Bacterial small subunit ribosomal RNA
Source: RNAcentral
CCAGACUCCUACGGGAGGCAGCAGUGGGGGAUAUUGCACAAUGGGGGCAACCCUGAUGCAGCGACGCCGCGUGAGCGAUGGAGUACUUCGGUAUGUAAAGCUCUGUCAGCAGGGAAGAGAAUGACGGUACCUGACCAAGAAGCCCCGGCUAAAUACGUGCCAGCAGCCGCGGUAAUACGUAUGGGGCAAGCGUUAUCCGGAUUUACUGGGUGUAAAGGGAGCGUAGGCGGCAGGGCAAGUCAGAUGUGAAAUCCCAAGGCUCAACCUUGGAACUGCAUUUGAAACUGUUGGUCUUGAGUAUCGGAGAGGCAGGCGGAAUUCCUAGUGUAGCGGUGAAAUGCGUAGAUAUUAGGAGGAACACCAGUGGCGAAGGCGGCCUGCUGGACGACAACUGACGGUGAGGCGCGAAAGCGUGGGGAGCAAACAGGAUUAGAUACCCGAGUACU